GUCGAACGAAAUCUUUCGGGAUUUAGUGGCGGACGGGUGAGUAACGCGUGAGAAUCUGCCUUCAGGUCUGGGACAACCACUGGAAACGGUGGCUAAUACCGGAUGUGCCGCAAGGUGAAAGGUUAACUGCCUGAAGAUGAGCUCGCGUCUGAUUAGCUAGUAGGUAGUGUAAAGGACUACCUAGGCGACGAUCAGUAGCUGGUCUGAGAGGACGAUCAGCCACACUGGGACUGAGACACGGCCCAGACUCCUACGGGAGGCAGCAGUGGGGAAUUUUCCGCAAUGGGCGAAAGCCUGACGGAGCAAUACCGCGUGAGGGAGGAAGGCUCUUGGGUCGUAAACCUCUUUUCUCAGGGAAGAACAAAAUGACGGUACCUGAGGAAUAAGCAUCGGCUAACUCCGUGCCAGCAGCCGCGGUAAUACGGAGGAUGCAAGCGUUAUCCGGAAUGAUUGGGCGUAAAGCGUCCGCAGGUGGCUAUGUAAGUCUGCUGUUAAAGAGUCUAGCUCAACUAGAUAAGAGCAGUGGAAACUACAUGGCUAGAGUGCGUUCGGGGCAGAGGGAAUUCCUGGUGUAGCGGUGAAAUGCGUAGAGAUCAGGAAGAACACCGGUGGCGAAGGCGCUCUGCUAGGCCGCAACUGACACUGAGGGACGAAAGCUAGGGGAGCGAAUGGGAUUAGAUACCCCAGUAGUCCUAGCCGUAAACGAUGGAUACUAGGCGUG
Molecule: ribosomal RNA, 721 nt
Filed under: Nostoc sp. 'Peltigera sp. K21 cyanobiont'
Lineage: Bacteria; Bacillati; Cyanobacteriota; Cyanophyceae; Nostocales; Nostocaceae
Also listed under: 2 other names
Description: bacterial SSU rRNA
Rfam family: Bacterial small subunit ribosomal RNA
Source: RNAcentral